GCUCAGGAUGAACGCUGGCGGCGUGCUUAACACAUGCAAGUCGAACGAAGCACCUUGAUUUGAUUCUUCGGAUGAAGAUCCUGGUGACUGAGUGGCGGACGGGUGAGUAACGCGUGGGUAACCUGCCUCAUACAGGGGGAUAACAGUUAGAAAUGACUGCUAAUACCGCAUAAGACCACAGCACCGCAUGGUGCAGGGGUAAAAACUCCGGUGGUAUGAGAUGGACCCGCGUCUGAUUAGGUAGUUGGUGGGGUAACGGCCUACUAAGCCGACGAUCAGUAGCCGACCUGAGAGGGUGACCGGCCACAUUGGGACUGAGACACGGCCCAAACUCCUACGGGAGGCAGCAGUA
Molecule: ribosomal RNA, 352 nt
Filed under: uncultured bacterium
Lineage: Bacteria
Description: bacterial SSU rRNA
Rfam family: Bacterial small subunit ribosomal RNA
Source: RNAcentral